GCAAACUUGGUCAUUUAGAGGAAGUAAAAGUCGUAACAAGGUUUCCGUAGGUGAACCUGCGGAAGGAUCAUUAAUGAAUUUGUCUUCGGACAUUCUCUCAUACACUUGUGAACUUACACUGUUGCUUGGUGGAGAUGCGGUCCAGAAAUGGAUGCGCGCCACCGAGAUUUUUUCACCCAUUUUUAUGUCUGAACAAAACAAAAAAUAAAACAAAACUUUCAACAAUGGAUCUCUUGGCUCUGGCAUCGAUGAAGAACGCAGC
Molecule: unclassified non-coding RNA, 262 nt
Filed under: uncultured fungus
Lineage: Eukaryota; Fungi
Description: partial contains small subunit ribosomal RNA, internal transcribed spacer 1, and 5.8S ribosomal RNA
Rfam family: Eukaryotic small subunit ribosomal RNA (bases 1-73)
Source: RNAcentral